Molecule: ribosomal RNA, 477 nt
Filed under: uncultured bacterium
Lineage: Bacteria
Description: bacterial SSU rRNA
Rfam family: Bacterial small subunit ribosomal RNA
Source: RNAcentral
GAUGAACGCUAGCGGCAGGCUUAACACAUGCAAGUCGAGGGGCAGCAUAAUGGAUAGCAAUAUCUAUGGUGGCGACCGGCGCACGGGUGCGUAACGCGUAUGCAACCUACCUUUAACAGGGGGAUAACACUGAGAAAUUGGUACUAAUACCCCAUAAUAUCAUAGAAGGCAUCUUUUAUGGUUGAAAAUUCCGAUGGUUAGAGAUGGGCAUGCGUUGUAUUAGCUAGUUGGUGGGGUAACGGCUCACCAAGGCGACGAUACAUAGGGGGACUGAGAGGUUAACCCCCCACACUGGUACUGAGACACGGACCAGACUCCUACGGGAGGCAGCAGUGAGGAAUAUGGUCAAUGGACGCAAGUCUGAACCAGCCAUGCCGCGUGCAGGAUGACGGCUCUAUGAGUUGUAAACUGCUUUUGUACUAGGGUAAACUCACCUACGUGUAGGUGACUGAAAGUNUAAGUACGAAUAAGGAUCGG